Molecule: ribosomal RNA, 105 nt
Filed under: uncultured Cenococcum
Lineage: Eukaryota; Fungi; Ascomycota; Dothideomycetes; Gloniales; Gloniaceae
Description: partial 5.8S ribosomal RNA
Rfam family: 5.8S ribosomal RNA
About the family: 5.8S ribosomal RNA (5.8S rRNA) is a component of the large subunit of the eukaryotic ribosome. It is transcribed by RNA polymerase I as part of the 45S precursor that also contains 18S and 28S rRNA.
Source: RNAcentral
AAACUUUCAACAACGGAUCUCUUGGUUCUGGCAUCGAUGAAGAACGCAGCGAAAUGCGAUAAGUAGUGUGAAUUGCAGAAUUCAGUGAAUCAUCGAAUCUUUGAA